GACGAACGCUGGCGGCGUGCUUAACACAUGCAAGUCGAACGGAAACGUCCGGCUUUGGUGCGGUGCUGUGGGUGCGAACGGGUGAGUAACACGUGAGUAACCUGCCCUUGACUUUGGGAUAACUUCAUGAAACUGGGUCUAAUACCGGAUAGGAUCUACUGCUGCAUGGUGGGGGUUGGUAAGUUUCGGCGGUUGGGGAUGGAAUCGCGGCUUAUCAGCUUGUUGGUGGGGUAGUGGCUUACCAAGGCUUUGACGGGUAGCCGGCCUGAGAGGGUGACCGGCCAAACUGCGACUGAGAUGCGGCCCAGACCACUCCGGUACGCAGAAGUGGAGAAUAGUGCACAAUGGGCGGAAGCCUGGUGUAGCAACGCCGCGUGCGGGAUGACGGCAUUCGGUUAGUAACCCACUUCCGCCUGUGACGAAGCGUGAGUGACGGUACUGAGUAAAGAAGCACCGGCUAACUACGUG
RNAcentral lists this ribosomal RNA (468 nucleotides) under uncultured bacterium. RNAcentral describes it as "partial 16S ribosomal RNA". It matches the Rfam family "Bacterial small subunit ribosomal RNA", at positions 28 to 507 of the family's 1533-position model. The record is from RNAcentral.